This 68-nucleotide transfer RNA is filed under the name Lasionycteris noctivagans (Silver-haired bat). RNAcentral describes it as "tRNA-Thr". Lineage: Eukaryota; Metazoa; Chordata; Mammalia; Chiroptera; Vespertilionidae. The record is from RNAcentral.
GUCUUUAUAGUAUACUAAUUACACUGGUCUUGUAAAUCAGAAAAGGAAGAUAACACUUCCUAAAGACU